RNAcentral lists this unclassified non-coding RNA (816 nucleotides) under Hevea brasiliensis (rubber tree). Lineage: Eukaryota; Viridiplantae; Streptophyta; Magnoliopsida; Malpighiales; Euphorbiaceae. The record is from RNAcentral.
UAUCUAUCUUUCUCUCAUGCUCAAUCCAUCACUUCCACGGUGGAUGAAGCUAAUACCAUGGACAAGAGAGUGAUCCCCGGUGGAGAAGAAGCGGAGGUGAGGAAAGGACCAUGGACUAUGGAGGAAGACCUCAUCCUCAUGAACUACAUAGCCAACCAUGGAGAGGGUGUCUGGAACACGCUAGCAAAAUCCGCAGGACUGAAGAGGACCGGGAAGAGCUGCCGGCUCCGUUGGCUGAAUUACCUCAGGCCUGAUGUCCGUCGGGGGAAUAUAACACCGGAGGAGCAGCUUCUUAUCAUGGAUCUUCACUCCAGAUGGGGAAAUAGAUGGUCGAAAAUCGCAAGGCAGCUACCAGGGAGGACAGACAAUGAAAUAAAGAACUACUGGAGAACACGAAUUCAGAAGAAAGUCAAGGGUGGAGAAUCAUCUGAAUGCCAUAAUUCCAUGCUUUCUGAUGAAGCUAGCACGAGCCAAGCGGGCGGAGUCGAAGUUAUGGGAGCACAACCGAGUUACCCUCCGCCGCAUACUACCAAUCCUGAGACAUUUGGAACUCCCUUUCCAACUGAAUCGAACGAUAAUUUCUGGGCGGACGAUGAGUUCUGGGCUAUGCAGUCUUUCAAUGGAGACUAAGAACUAAAGAAAUAAACCAUCAUCUUGCCAUUGCCAUGACGAUGAUGGGGUUGCUUGCUCUAAGAAUAUAAGUGAUGCUGCAAAUGUAUGGUGUACAAAUGUCUAGCAAUUAUUAUGCUUAUAAUGUAAUAUCAUGUAAUUGAACUUUAUUGCUUUUCAUGCUUGGUAUGGGUAUUAAGACGGCCC